AUAAAUUCUUUUGUUAAAAUUUUGUGAAAAUAAAGUUAUUAUUUGCAGUCAUUUAAGCUUAUCUACAUCUAAUUGUUUUUCCUAUUUUAUUUCUAAGUUCUCUGUCAACAGUUUAUUCUUUUCUCCUCUAGUGGCUUUGGGUGUACCACUGACAGAGAGUCUAUUGUUCAUCCUUCCUUAAUAGUAUGCAUAUUUUAAAGAUUCUGACCUGAUUUUUUAAUUUUAAAAUUUAUAACAUUGUCUAAUUAUAAAGCAAUGCAUAUUUAUUAUAGAAAGUUUGGAUGAUACACAGAAUCUAAAAAAAAUAAAAAAUUAACUGUAAUCUAAUCAGCUAGAGAUAACCAUUGUUACCACAUUUUACUUCACACUUCUGCAGAUCAAGGGUGAACAAUUUACUACAGAAAACAGUAAUGCUAGAGAAUAGGAGGAAGUCAAGCAAAUCAACACAUCUACAGGACCCAUUCAUGUAACCCAUGGAGAUAAGGGGAGGGGCCAGCCUCUGCAAAUGAGAUGGAUCUAUUCUUGUUACUGGGAAGAGAGGGAAAGCUUUUCCAUCAUCUCAUGGCCUUUCUAUUCCCAAAACACAACAAUAUGGAAAGUGGACCAACUAGUAAACCUACAAUGGGCUCUAAGUGUUCAAGUGAAAGGAAAAGUCACAUGUCUUUCACUUUAAAUGAAAAACUAGAAAUGAUUAAACUUAGUGAGGAAGGCAUGUUGAUAAUCAAGACAGGCUGAAAGCUAGGCCUCUUGUAUGAAACAGCCAAGUUGUAAACACAAAGGAAAAUUCUUAAAGAAAAUUAAAAAUGCUACUCCAGUGAACACACUAAUAAUAAUAAAGCAAAACAGCCUUAUUUUUGUAUGGAGAAUGUUUGAGUGGCCUGGAUAGAAGAUCCAACCAGCCAUAAGAUUUCCUUAAGCCAAUGCCUAAGUCAGAGCAAGACCUUAACUCUGUUCAAUACUAUGAAAACUGAGCAGUGAGGAAGUUGCAGGACAAAAGUUAGAAACUAGGAGAUGUUAACUCAUGACAUGUAAGGAAAGAAGUUGUCUCCAUGACAUAAAAGCACAAGUUGAAGCAGCAAAUGCUGAUGUAAAAGCUGCAGCAGGUUAUCCAGAGAUCUAGCUAAGUUAGUUGAUGAAAGUGGCUACACUAAACAACAGAUUUUCAACAUAUACAAAACAGUCCUCUAUGGGAAGUAGAUGCCAUCUAGGAUUUUCAUAGCUAGAGAAGAGAAGUCAAUGCCUAGCUUCAAAGGACAGGCUGACUCUCUUGUUAGGACCUAAUACAGCUGGUGUCUAAGUGGAGCCAAUGCUUGUUUACCAUUCUGAAAAUGCUAGGGUCCUUAAAUCUACUCUGCUCUAUC
Molecule: long non-coding RNA, 1361 nt
Filed under: Callithrix jacchus (white-tufted-ear marmoset)
Lineage: Eukaryota; Metazoa; Chordata; Mammalia; Primates; Cebidae
Description: lncRNA (ENSCJAG00000077073.1)
Source: RNAcentral